Molecule: long non-coding RNA, 4992 nt
Filed under: Pan troglodytes (chimpanzee)
Lineage: Eukaryota; Metazoa; Chordata; Mammalia; Primates; Hominidae
Description: long non-coding RNA NONPTRT018249
Source: RNAcentral
AGCUUUGAGAAAAUGUGUUAAAUAUCAGUAAAGGGCAGGAACACACAUGGCUAGCUUUACAAUAGCAAUCUAAACAUACACAAAGGCAAACAUUGAGUAAAAUGCUAGGGAAAGAUGGCACUUUGGGGGCCUACUGCAGUUUUCCUUAUUGCACAUAAAGGUUGUGGAUAACUCCAAGUCUUUAAUUUUUCACAGUUAUACUUUAAUGUCAUUUUAUAUAACGUUUAUUUAUAUAACAUACUAUAAUGUUAAUUUUAUAAAACCACAGUUUGCUACUGUUGAAUGGAAAUAGAAGACAAAAUUCUCCCCAAUUACACUAUGUAAGCUCUCUAUAAAAAGUUCCCUAGAAGGUCACAUCAUUCCAUGUUAAAUUCGUCCUAUUCUAUUUUAAAAAUUGCUUUUCAGCUAUUAAAUGAAUCUUUAUGGCCUUCUCAUUUAACCAUUUUCAUGGACAUAGUACAACUUUCCAAGUAAAAAGUACCAGAUGUAUUUUAUGUGAAAAACAAAAGGACAACUUAGGAGGAGGUGGCCCUACUAUGAAGUCACACUUUGAACGAUCAAUUUCAGUGGUAAAUUCCCAAUCCAUAGACUUAACACCCACACAACUGAAAAUCAUCCCUCUGCUUCUCCAAAGCCCACAAUUGGAAUAAUCACAACACAAGUCAGCCCCUAAAUGUCCAUGCAGUUAAGUCAUCCGGUAACACCUGAACUGUAGCCUUUUUUAAGUGCUUGAGAAAGCAGAUGUUGAGGUUUCCAUGCAGUUAAGUCAUCCGGUAACACCUGAACUGUAGCCUUUUUUAAGUGCUUGAGAAAGCAGAUGUUGAGGUUUCCAUGCUGUUUACAAGUCCUUUUCUAUCUGAGUUCCUCCAACAUAUACAGGCCCAGACAAUUUCCCACUGGCCAAGACUUGACUGUGACACUUGGUGAUUCUGUUAAGCCUUUUGAAAGGUGGUCAUCAGAAGGAGAAGGUGACUUCUGCUGUGUGCUCUCCUGUCUGCUUUGGACCUUUUCAAAGGGCAGCACAGCAGGCAGCCCUUCCUUCUCAUCUUCUCCAAGGCUCAGGUAGCAGAAAACCGGCUGCCUGUGUGUUCCAUAUGGGCCACGACUAUAGUAUACCCUGCUUACAAAAAUAAGACUAACAUCAAAAACUUUGGUUUUGCUCUUUACAAUUUUUGCUAGCACUGGGUGACAAGAUGUGUUUAAUUUUUUUAAAAUGUCUAUGAAAAUUGACACUGGAAAAAACUGUUUAUCUCUAGGUCUUGUUUUGAAAGGAUUGUUGAUGAGUCUACUUGCUUUUCCUAGUUAAGACACUAGCAAUGGUUUCUACAGUAUUUCUCUAUAUGUUGUUUUCAGGUUUUAGAAAGGGGGAUGAUCUUUUCAGGUAUCAAAGUGGUAAAAGCAGUAUUCAGAUGGGUUGUUUCUAAACUACAACUCUUGGCCACUAGAUUCCUUUGACUUACUGUAUCAGAAUGUAGCAGCCGACACUGGCAAUCCAGAGUGUCAGUUAAAGAACAACAGAAUAGCUCAGAACUCAAUGAUACCAGUCUAAUGUAUAUGAAAGACUUGUUCCUGAACUAAUUAAUCUAUAGAAUCAACAUCAAAAGGCAGACAAGAAACUUGUCAAGUUCCCCACUUUUGAAGUGGAAUAAGAAGUCAUAUACUUGUGAGAUCAGCACGCUGACUUUCUAGCAGCCCUCAUUGCAGAUAAUCUUUCACAACAGAUGGUAAAAUCAGCUUUCUGAUACACUCUUAGAACUCACAACGGGUGCACAGUAGGUUUCCAAGUGGGUGAUUUUCACCUCUGAUGAGAUGCUCUAACACCCUGCCACUGUUUUUCCCCCUAAGUGCAUCAGUGGUGUUUCUACAUUUGGAAAUUACUUGUUCACAUUAAACAUCUGGUAUGAUUACAUUAACUUCUACUGCAGACAAGGACAGGGAGAGAUAGGAUGAUGGGAUGACGUCAAACAGACCAACAGACCUCUAUUUUGGAAGGAACUGUUAGUUCUUUGUCCUAGACCGAAUCGUUCAUGGAUAGCUGAGAUACCCUUUUGCAUGUUUUCUAAAGAGAUUCCAUUUCUCAGCCAAGCCACAGAGGACAUUUUCGGGUCUAGAGAACACAGCCUGAAGAGAUCCUUGCUGUUUGCUUGAUGAAACAUUUGACGUCGCAGUGUGAUUUCUGCCUUCCAGGCAUCAAUGCUUAUUUGUCUGAUCACCCCAGUAACCACCCUGGAUGCUCGGAUCCAUAUGCCCUUCCUGUGCUUGUGUCCUAGGAAGAAAUGUGGCCUUAUUUAAAUUCCAAAUUUUCUUCCCUAGGAGAGAAAGUUCAGGUUUCUGGUAGUUCUCAAAAAGUGUACUAAAAGGAAUAGCAGCUUUCAUCUUCUCUCUGUCAGGGCUAUACAAAAGUGUGCAUCUCCUUAAUUACCUGCUACGGAAACCACCACCAUCACCAUGUGAUAGCAAAGGACCACAACCUUCUACUUUGCUCCAGCAGUAAAUGGGCCCACCCUUAUUCUGAGGAAUCCAGUGUGGACUCAGGCAUGAGGAUAGGUGAAGGAAAAGAAAAUCUGACUCCAGAGGGGACUAUUAAUUUAAUUCCAGGUGAAAUUAAAAAAAAAAACAAAACAGCUCCCAGAAACCUUCAUGCUUGAUUAGUCAGCAGCUCAGUUAAGACAAUACCUUCCCUUUAUUCCCCACAAGUGGGAACCAAGAUGACAGGUUUUUAGUUCUCCCCAUACAUACCCCAAGUCACCCUUCUCUUUCCUCGAAGGCUCCAAGGUUUUCGUGAUCUUUUCAGCUGUACUUUAUGGAGUAUGUUCUUGAGUUCUGCAAAGAUUAGCAUCAAACUCUCUCACAGCUGCCCUGUCUGUAUUACUGAUCAAUACUCAGUUCGUUUCACAUGACUAACAAUUUAAAAAAACACCUUCAUCUGCUGGGCCAUUCUUUAAAAUCAGAUUCCAAAUAGUCUAGAGGUCUGCUGCGAGCUCUAGACUAAAGGCUCUUGUCAAUCCUGGCUGCACAUCAAGAACACUCCUGAGGUUCCAAACAAAGCAUGGAUUCCAGGUCCCACCUGAAGCUACUGAAUCUGAAUCUCUGAGGGGAGGGCCCUUGCACUGAUUUAAAAACAAAAACUGGCCAGAUGAUCCUAAUUCACAGCCAGGGUUGAGAACCUCUGCUCUAGAACAUCGGACUCUGCUGAACUGUCGUCCCCACCAACCCAGAACAAAUACGUGUAUAAGAUGGACUUGGGUUUACUCUCUUGGAAGAACUUUGUUUAUUUGGAUGUACCAUUACUUAGCAGUUUCAAUCUGAUCUUAUGCCAGACUGGCAGCAGAUAGUUGGCCUUGUGCUGAAUGAUGCCUGACACGGCAUAGGCAAAAUGCUUCUAGAUGUGGAACCACUUGACGAAUGGAUUCACAUUCCCAGGACCCCUGGUAAGGUCAGGGUUAUUCUCCACAUCUUACAAACAAAAAUUAGGACCAAAGGUCAAAAAUUAGGACCAAAGUGCCUUACUUUGAUUCACCAAAUAUUUGUAAUCAAAUAAGGACUUAGAACACUGGAAAGCAGUUCUGAUUCCAAAUGGCUGACAGCUCGGGGUUAGUGACAAAGGCAAGAAAGGGAGACCAGCCUGCAUUUCCAGCUUCCUAACACACAAAGAAAGGCCGGGGUAGGGUUACUGGGCAAAUGCUGCAACUAGGUUCUGGGCCCUCUCUUCCCUGGGUAGGCCUUCUGGGUGGGCCUCCUGCCCUAUACAAACCAUCCCCAACCCACCUUGUUUACAUUGGAACUACACUGUCGUAGACAGCAAUUCAGGGAAGAGGACAAGCCAUAAUUAGGAAUUCCUCCCUGUUUCCCCUGUCAUCUCCACACAGGAAAACCCUGAUGGGAAGCCCACCCCUCUAGUUUUGGUCUUGGCAAUCUACAUUUCCUUGUAUGUGAGUAGAUCAGAAUCAAAUGUUUGCAGUGAAGACUACAAGACCCUUUGGGGAUAAACACAACACUCUAUGAAUUGAACUAAGACUAGGAAGGGAAACUGGGUGGUUAUUUUUCUUCCCUAAGAGAGUCAUUUCUUGUAAUCUUGCAAAAGCUUUUAAAAAAAACCCAAAAUAAUGGCCAGGGGCGGUGGCUCACGCCUGUAAUCCCAGCACUUUGGGAGGCAGAGGCGGGUGGAUCACGAGGUCAGCAGAUCGAGACCAUCCUGCCCAACAUGGUGAAACUCUGUCUCUACUAAAAAUAUUAAAAAAUUAGCUGGGUGUGGUGGCAUGCGCCUGUAAUCCCAGCUACUCGGGAGGCUGAGGUAGGAGAAUCGCUUGAACCCAGGAGGUGGAGAUUGCAGUGAGCCGAGGUCAUGCCACUGCACUCCAGCCUGGGGGAUAGAGCGAGACUCCAUCUAAAAACAAAACAAAACAAAACAAAAAACAAACAACAACACAACAACAAAGCCUUGAGGUGAACAAAGAACCAUCACCAGGGUGUGUCUGUUAGUUUUUUCCCUCCAAAAUUAAGUAAGCAAUAUAAGAUAAGCAAAGCUUUAUAAAGACCCAACCAAAGACCCAAGCAGCCUAUCUCUCCAUCUCUGCAAAACAAAAACAAAAAUGAAAACAAAACAAGCCUUGCCUUUUAGAUUUAUAUGGCAUGACUGGUCAUUACUAAGAUAACUCUGCUAAAUAAAAAAUCCUGUGCUGGUUCUGGACUCCAGCACACAUAUAAUACAGGCCUCUGCCAGGCCUGGUAGCUGCUGUCUGCAACCUCACCCCAGGAUAUAAGAACUUCCCUUCCAGGGGCUAUGAAAGCUCUUUCUCUGGCUGUGGGGUGUAGGUCUUAUUCUUAAGUCCUUCACUAGCCUAGUUGACCCUGAGGGCUCAUGGGUUUGGGUAGGUUGUUUAGCAUUUUUCAAACUUCCAAAGCCCAUGGAUGACCAUAAAAUCAAAAUGGACUUUAUUGUAGAUAAAAAGGAAAGAGGAGAAUAAAAAUCAUUCAACUGUAUUUUUUUUU